GGGGAUGUAGCUCAGUUGGUAGAGUGCUUGAUUAGCAUGUACAAGGCCCUGGGUUCAAUCCCUGGCACCACCA
Molecule: transfer RNA, 73 nt
Filed under: Ictidomys tridecemlineatus (thirteen-lined ground squirrel)
Lineage: Eukaryota; Metazoa; Chordata; Mammalia; Rodentia; Sciuridae
Description: Spermophilus tridecemlineatus (thirteen-lined ground squirrel) tRNA
Rfam family: tRNA
About the family: Transfer RNA (tRNA) molecules are approximately 80 nucleotides in length. Their secondary structure includes four short double-helical elements and three loops (D, anti-codon, and T loops).
Source: Rfam by way of RNAcentral